RNAcentral lists this long non-coding RNA (302 nucleotides) under Daucus carota (carrot). Its description in RNAcentral is "long non-coding RNA (DCAR_LNC001376)". The record is from RNAcentral. Lineage: Eukaryota; Viridiplantae; Streptophyta; Magnoliopsida; Apiales; Apiaceae.
AGCAGCACACAAAUGACAUGUUUACUCCUGUGCUGGCCCAGAAGGUGGUGCUUGUUGAUCCCCAGCAGUUUGUGAGGGUGGGUUGGGCUGUUGAGGUCCUGCCGGCUGAGCAUUGGGCUGUUGAGCUCCUGCCUGGUGAGCAUUGGGCUGUUGAGGUCCUGCCUGGUGACCACUAGCGGGGCGUAGAGGUGCAUUAGGUUGAUAAUGGGAUCCUGCUUGGUGACCACCCGGGGCUUGUGGGGGUGCAUGCGGCUGAUAAGGGGGUUGAGGAUAUUGUUGGUAAGUUUGAGGUGCAUUGGUUU